RNAcentral lists this ribosomal RNA (254 nucleotides) under uncultured bacterium. RNAcentral's name for it is "partial 16S ribosomal RNA". It matches the Rfam family "Bacterial small subunit ribosomal RNA", at positions 524 to 776 of the family's 1533-position model. The record is from RNAcentral.
GACGUAGGGCGCAAGCGUUGUCCGGAAUUAUUGGGCGUAAAGAGCUCGUAGGCGGUGUGUCGCGUCGGCCGUGAAAACUUGGGGCUUAACUCUGAGCGUGCGGUCGAUACGGGCAUCACUUGAGUUCGGCAGGGGAGACUGGAAUUCCUGGUGUAGCGGUGAAAUGCGCAGAUAUCAGGAGGAACACCGGUGGCGAAGGCGGGUCUCUGGGCCGAUACUGACGCUGAGGAGCGAAAGCAUGGGGAGCGAACAGG